UACGUAGGUGGCAAGCGUGUCCGGAAUUAUUGGGCGUAAAGCGCGCGCAGGCGGCUUCUUAAGUCUGAUGUGAAAUCUCGGGGCUCAACCCCGAGCGGCCAUUGGAAACUGGGAAGCUUGAGUACAGAAGAGGAGAGUGGAAUUCCACGUGUAGCGGUGAAAUGCGUAGAUAUGUGAAGGAACACCAGUGGCGAAGGCGACUCUCUGGUCUGUAACUGACGCUGAGGCGCGAAAGCGUGGGGAGCAAACAGG
RNAcentral lists this ribosomal RNA (252 nucleotides) under uncultured bacterium. Its description in RNAcentral is "partial 16S ribosomal RNA". It matches the Rfam family "Bacterial small subunit ribosomal RNA", at positions 524 to 776 of the family's 1533-position model. The record is from RNAcentral.